RNAcentral lists this ribosomal RNA (418 nucleotides) under Salmonella enterica subsp. enterica serovar Infantis. RNAcentral describes it as "partial 23S ribosomal RNA". It matches the Rfam family "Bacterial large subunit ribosomal RNA", at positions 2385 to 2802 of the family's 2925-position model. RNAcentral also lists the same sequence under 2 other names. Lineage: Bacteria; Pseudomonadati; Pseudomonadota; Gammaproteobacteria; Enterobacterales; Enterobacteriaceae. The record is from RNAcentral.
CGGCGCGAGCAGGUGCGAAAGCAGGUCAUAGUGAUCCGGUGGUUCUGAAUGGAAGGGCCAUCGCUCAACGGAUAAAAGGUACUCCGGGGAUAACAGGCUGAUACCGCCCAAGAGUUCAUAUCGACGGCGGUGUUUGGCACCUCGAUGUCGGCUCAUCACAUCCUGGGGCUGAAGUAGGUCCCAAGGGUAUGGCUGUUCGCCAUUUAAAGUGGUACGCGAGCUGGGUUUAGAACGUCGUGAGACAGUUCGGUCCCUAUCUGCCGUGGGCGCUGGAGAACUGAGGGGGGCUGCUCCUAGUACGAGAGGACCGGAGUGGACGCAUCACUGGUGUUCGGGUUGUCAUGCCAAUGGCACUGCCCGGUAGCUAAAUGCGGAAGAGAUAAGUGCUGAAAGCAUCUAAGCACGAAACUUGCCCCGA